This 1020-nucleotide long non-coding RNA is filed under the name Sus scrofa (pig). RNAcentral's name for it is "lncRNA (ENSSSCG00050029836.1)". The record is from RNAcentral. Lineage: Eukaryota; Metazoa; Chordata; Mammalia; Artiodactyla; Suidae.
AUGGAGAAGGUGUCGCUCCAUGGAGUAAAGAGUAAAAGGAGGCUAAGGAUGGAUUCUGAUCUGGUAGAAAGAGCCCUGCCUGUGCAGGAGGAGAAUUCUGGGACAGUGAUGUCAUUCUUUAUUCCUGUUUUUCAGCUGAAUUCUUUUGUACCAGAUGUUAUUCAAAGAGAGUCAGUGGUGAGGUAUCAGUGGUGGAUUGGAAAUAAUAUGGAAAGAGCAUAAAACUCAGUUCUUUUAUAUUUUGAUGAUUUUUCUUGUGGGAGAGAGAGAGAGAGGGAGAGGGAGAGGGAGAGGGAGAGGGAGAGGGAGAGAGAAGCUCUCUAAAGAUAUCAGGGAACAACCAAGGUAACCAGAACUUGAGAGGCCAAAUCCUGGCAAGAAGAAAGUUUCCCCUCCACAUUUGUCUCUGCUCUUUUCUCUCAAAUACUUGCUGAUUCACAGGAAAAGGGAAUAGAAGUAAGCAGAAGGGAUGAGCUGGAGCUUAUAGCAGUCUUGAUAGCUAGGGGAGGCAGGGGUUAGAAUUUUUUGAUGCCAGUAUAGUUGGGAACUGAAGGGCUCGAUGUCCUAGGUAGGAGAAAAUCACAGAAAAAUGAGGCCCCAAAUCGAUGUGCAAUUUCACAUUGAGGGAAUUGGAAUAUUCUUAAGUUAUAUAAAUGCAGAGGCAAGAAAAAUACACUGAGAGCAGCUGCUAGGAAACUAAAGUGCUAAGCAGAAGUUUCAGCAGUUAAAUAGAGCAUCUAAAAUUUUUAUAUUCUCAAUGUCUGGCAUUUGAAUUAAUUACAACAUAUGAUAGGAAACAGGACCAGAUGACUAGAAGUAACAAGAAAAACAGACCAAUGGGUGAUCCAGAUAUUGGAGUUUUCCGCCACAGACUUCAAAAUGACUGUGGUUCAUUUAUUCAAAAAGUAGAAGGUAAGAUGAAGAAUUACGCCAAAAAAGUAGAAUCUGUUUUUAAAAAGCCACAUGAAAAUAUUGUACUUUAAAAAUAAAAUAAUUGAAGUUAAGAAUUUGAUAGGUUUA